GCCAGCUUGAGCUUCCUGUUGCUUGCUAUUGGAAACAUUUCAGCAAACCAAUGUUCCCCGAGGAAUUACGAUAUAAUCAUCAGAGGAGGUCCAUCAUUGCCUGCGGAUGAAAUAAUAUCAAGACACAAUGUUACAUCUUCAGUUGUCAUGUUAGGAUGUCACACUCACUGCAAAGACGAAGACAAAUGUGUUGGAUUCAACUACAGAACAACAAAAAAUGUCGAAAAUUGCCAACUGACCAACGUUACUAGAAAGAAAGAAGAAACGAAACUAACCGGAGAUUGGAUAUUGAUGCGAAAUGUUGAAGCAGCAAGAAAGGCGGUUGAAGAAGAAAAUCGUACCAGGAAAUCAGGUAAUUUGCUUUAGAAUUAUCACAAAUAUCAUAAUU
Molecule: long non-coding RNA, 388 nt
Organism: Dendronephthya gigantea
Lineage: Eukaryota; Metazoa; Cnidaria; Anthozoa; Malacalcyonacea; Nephtheidae
Exons: 3
Source: RefSeq, a predicted model, not a curated record